This 443-nucleotide ribosomal RNA is filed under the name uncultured bacterium. RNAcentral's name for it is "bacterial SSU rRNA". It matches the Rfam family "Bacterial small subunit ribosomal RNA", at positions 339 to 796 of the family's 1533-position model. The record is from RNAcentral.
CUACGGGAGGCAGCAGCAAGGAAUUUUCCCCAAUGGGCGCAAGCCUGAGGGAGCAACGCCGCGUGGGGGAUGACGCAUUUCGGUGUGUAAACCCCUCUUCCGAGGGACGAAACAAAUGACGGUACCUUGGGAAGAAGGCCCGGCUAACUACGUGCCAGCAGCCGCGGUAAUACGUAGGGGCCAAGCGUUGUCCGGAGUUACUGGGCGUAAAGGGUGCGCAGGCGGUUGGUUACGUCGUGUGUGAAAGCCCCCGGCUUAACCGGGGAGGGUCGCGCGAAACGGGCUAACUGGAGGCAAGGCGAGGUCGGUGGAAUUCCCGGUGUAGUGGUGAAAUGCGUAGAGAUCGGGAGGAACACCAGAGGCGAAGGCGGCCGACUGGACUUGACCUGACGCUGAGGCACGAAGGCGUGGGGAGCGAACGGGAUUAGAAACCCUAGUAGUCC